GGUUGAUUAGUGUAGUUGGUUAUCACAUCGGAUUUUGAGAAUACUCGACUUCCGGGGACCCGGGUUCGAAUCCCAGAUCGACCU
This is a non-coding RNA of Blumeria graminis, 84 nucleotides long. NCBI's taxonomy places the organism in Eukaryota, Fungi, Ascomycota, Leotiomycetes, Helotiales, Erysiphaceae. The record is from Rfam.